UAUAAUUUAGUGUAUGGCGCACACAGGCUUUUGAAUCCUGAAGACAAAGUUCAACUCUUUUAAUUAUAA
RNAcentral lists this transfer RNA (69 nucleotides) under Amynthas corticis. Its description in RNAcentral is "tRNA-Gln". It matches the Rfam family "tRNA". Rfam says of the family: Transfer RNA (tRNA) molecules are approximately 80 nucleotides in length. The record is from RNAcentral. Lineage: Eukaryota; Metazoa; Annelida; Clitellata; Crassiclitellata; Megascolecidae. RNAcentral also lists the same sequence under 1 other name.